GCCACUCGAAACUUUGCACACCUCUACGUGGUGGGCGGCAGGCAACACAAGUGUUUGUGGCUAAGAUGCAA
This 71-nucleotide ribozyme is filed under the name unclassified sequences. RNAcentral describes it as "RAGATH-2 HDV ribozyme". It matches the Rfam family "HDV ribozyme from F. prausnitzii". The record is from RNAcentral.